This 253-nucleotide ribosomal RNA is filed under the name uncultured bacterium. RNAcentral's name for it is "partial 16S ribosomal RNA". It matches the Rfam family "Bacterial small subunit ribosomal RNA", at positions 524 to 776 of the family's 1533-position model. The record is from RNAcentral.
GACAGAGGAUGCAAGCGUUAUCCGGAAUUAUUGGGCGUAAAGAGCUCGUAGGCGGUUUGUCGCGUCUGCUGUGAAAAUCCGGGGCUCAACCCCGGACUUGCAGUGGGUACGGGCAGGCUAGAGUGCGGUAGGGGAGACUGGAAUUCCUGGUGUAGCGGUGAAAUGCGCAGAUAUCAGGAGGAACACCGGUGGCGAAGGCGGGUCUCUGGGCCGUAACUGACGCUGAGGAGCGAAAGCAUGGGGAGCGAACAGG